CCUACGGGGGGCAGCAGUGGGGAAUAUUGCGCAAUGGGCGAAAGCCUGACGCAGCGACGCCGCGUGAGGGAUGAAGGUCUUCGGAUCGUAAACCUCUGUCAGCAGGGAAGAACGGUCACUGUGCUAAUCAGCAGUGAAUUGACGGUACCUGCAAAGGAAGCACCGGCUAACUCCGUGCCAGCAGCCGCGGUAAUACGGAGGGUGCGAGCGUUAAUGGGAAUUACUGGGCGUAAAGCGCUCGUAGGUGGUAUGUCAAGUCAAGGGUGAAAUCCCCGCGCUCAACGUGGGAACUGCCUUUGAAACUGGGAAACUAGAGUGUGGGAGGGGGUAGUGGAAUUCCAGGUGUAGGAGUGAAAUGCGUAGAUAUCGGGAGGAACAUCAGUGGCGAAGGCGACUAUCUGGCACAUAACUGACGCUGAGGAGCGAAGGCGUGGGUAGCAAACGGGAUUAGAUACCCGAGUAGUC
RNAcentral lists this ribosomal RNA (465 nucleotides) under uncultured bacterium. RNAcentral describes it as "partial 16S ribosomal RNA". It matches the Rfam family "Bacterial small subunit ribosomal RNA", at positions 338 to 795 of the family's 1533-position model. The record is from RNAcentral.